AAAUGAGUUGAAAGGUGAUGAAUUACAGUAUGUUAAACUAUUUUAUCUGUCUCAAUUUACUCAGCUUUAGAUAUUUUAGAUGGUAUUUGUUUACUUACUGGGAUUAUAUAAUCUCACCACCCUUUUUUCCACCCAUUUCAAGCUUAGGAUAGUCGGUAGAUAGCUCACUUUGUUAAGGGCUACAAUUGGACUUGCAUCCUCAAAAACUAUAGGUUUACCGCUUUUGAUACUUUUGGUCGUUCGUGGGCCCACGUGUCACUGUAAAUUAAAUUUUAUACUUUGGUUAUCUAUAUUACAGUAUGUAUGAAUUUAUUUAGCUUUUACGCUACAAAAAUUAUUUACCGAUAACUCUAUAAAUAUUGUUUUAUAAGAAAAUAGAAUAUUUUAUUAAAUAUUUUUUAUUAUAUUCAAA
Molecule: long non-coding RNA, 412 nt
Filed under: Theobroma cacao (cacao)
Lineage: Eukaryota; Viridiplantae; Streptophyta; Magnoliopsida; Malvales; Malvaceae
Description: long non-coding RNA (TCAC_LNC006340)
Source: RNAcentral